AGUGACGCUGGCGGUAGGCCUAACACAUGCAAGUCGAACGGCAGCACAGUAAGAGCUUGCUCUUACGGGUGGCGAGUGGCGGACGGGUGAGGAAUACAUCGGAAUCUACUUUUUCGUGGGGGAUAACGUAGGGAAGCUUACGCUAAUACCGCAUACGACCUACGGGUGAAAGCAGGGGAUCUUCGGACCUUGCGCGAUUGAAUGAGCCGAUGUCGGAUUAGCUAGUUGGCGGGGUAAAGGCCCACCAAGGCGACGAUCCGUAGCUGGUCUGAGAGGAUGAUCAGCCACACUGGAACUGAGACACGGUCCAGACUCCUACGGGAGGCAGCAGUGGGGAAUAUUGGACAAUGGGCGCAAGCCUGAUCCAGCCAUACCGCGUGGGUGAAGAAGGCCUUCGGGUUGUAAAGCCCUUUUGUUGGGAAAGAAAAGCAGCAGGUUAAUACCCCGCUGUUCUGACGGUACCCAAAGAAUAAGCACCGGCUAACUUCGU
This 490-nucleotide ribosomal RNA is filed under the name uncultured bacterium. Its description in RNAcentral is "partial 16S ribosomal RNA". It matches the Rfam family "Bacterial small subunit ribosomal RNA", at positions 33 to 506 of the family's 1533-position model. The record is from RNAcentral.